This 1197-nucleotide long non-coding RNA is filed under the name Ficedula albicollis (Collared flycatcher). RNAcentral's name for it is "lncRNA (ENSFALG00000025834.1)". The record is from RNAcentral. Lineage: Eukaryota; Metazoa; Chordata; Aves; Passeriformes; Muscicapidae.
CCCCCCCCCCCCCCCCCCCCCCCCCCCCCCCCCCCCCCCCCCCCCCCCCCCCCCCCCCCCCCCCCCCCCCCCCCCCCCCCCCCCCCUGCCGCUCGUGGGGCGGGAACUGCGCCCCAAAUCCCAGGUUUUCCAUGGAGCCCGUCCCGGUGUGCGGCUCGGCAUCGGCGUCGUGGUACAGGCUGUGGGAAUAGCGGCGAUCCAGCGGGAAUCCCGCCGCUCCCCCCUCCCCCCCCGCCGGGCCCUGCUCUUUCCCUCCCCGUUCCCACCAUUCCCGAAACCCGCGGGAUCUCCAAGAACCCCUCUGGGUUCAUCCCCGCAGCGAAUCCCGGGAAUCCCGCGAAUGCCAAGGAAACCCCAAGGAACCCCCAAACUCACCCCGCGCCCCAAGGCUGGGCCUGUAGACGCUGCCCACGCUGAGCCGCGCUUGGCUGUCGGGCACGGCCUGCGGAAUUUCGGGAAUGAAGGGCUCGGGGUGGGCGAUCCCAAAGGAUUCGGACGCCCGGAACGGCGGGUGCUGCUCGUGGGGCGGGAACUGCGCCCCAAAUCCCAGGUUUUCCAUGGAGCCCGUCCCGGUGUGCGGCUCGGCAUCGGCGUCGUGGUACAGGCUGUGGGAAUAGCGGCGAUCCAGCGGGAAUCCCGCCGCUCCGUAGGGAUUCGGCUCCUCCCCGAAAUCCUCGGGAUGCGCGCGGGGUUGGAGCGGGAACGCCACCCCCGUCCCUGUCCCCAUAUUUGUCCCCAUCCCUGUCCUUAUCCUUGUCUCCAUGCCUGUCCCCAUCCCUGUCUCCAUCCCUGUCCCCAUCGCUGUCCCCAUCGCUGUCCUUAUCCCUGUCUCCAUCCCUGUCCCCAUCGCUGUCCCCAUCGCUGUCCUUAUCCCCGUCUCCAUCCCUGUCCUUACGAACCCGGAGCCGGUCAGCGUGUCGGCCGCGUGCCCGUUCUCGCCGAUCAGGGUCAUGUUGGAGCCGGGCCGGCACGAGUCGCGACACAGCCCCUUCAGACACGUCCUCCGGCAGAUCAGGGGGGCGAAGACCACCUUGAAGCGCUCCCGGGCCACGGCCGCGCCCCCCCCGCGCCCCCCACCCCCCCCCCCCCCCCCCCCCCCCCCCCCCCCCCCCCCCCCCCCCCCCCCCCCCCCCCCCCCCCCCCCCCCCCCCCCCCCCCCCCCCCCCCCCCCCCCCCCCCCCCCCCCCCCCCCCCCCC